RNAcentral lists this long non-coding RNA (3659 nucleotides) under Sus scrofa (pig). RNAcentral's name for it is "lncRNA (ENSSSCG00000063454.1)". Lineage: Eukaryota; Metazoa; Chordata; Mammalia; Artiodactyla; Suidae. The record is from RNAcentral.
UUUUCUAUGCUACAUGGUUUCCUGUAGUAUAGUUCAUAUUUAAUGAUGAAAUUAGGAAAUUAAGACAAGUUAAGUAGCUUGACUGUGGUUGUAUAUAGAGGUGAAAAAAAGUCUUCCCUCCCCCAAUAAAGUAGAGGACACUAAAGCAGCAUUAAAGCAACAGAAAAGAUUUUCAAAGUAACAGUAUAUUAUCACUGUCUCUUUCUUACCUGGAAAAGUAGAAAUCAUGCAGGAUACCCUAUAAAUCAAGUUCACCUGCUGCCCAGGAAGGCCCCAUUUGAGGCUAAUAAAAAAUAAUCAUAAUCAAAAUAAUCAUUACUAAGUGAUAAUAAUUAUCAAUUUUUUAAAAGAGGACAAAAUGAACUUUGCAGAACAGACAGACUCACAGACUUUGAAAAACUUAUGCUUUCUAAAGGAGACAGGUUGGGGGUAGUGGGAUGGGCUAGGGGUUUGGGAUGGAAGUGCUAUAAAAUUGGGUUAUGUUGAUCAUUGUACAACUGUAAAUGUAAUAAAAUUCAUCAAGUAAUUUUUUUAAAAGUGUUUCAAAUUCCCAACACUAAAUGCUGGUUAUGUCCUUGAUGAUAGAUGGAGGUCUAAUUUUAUUAGGAAGGAAUUUCCUCAAUCAUCCCUUUCAGUAACCAAAAAUGCAUAAAAAAGAAAAAAAGGAAAAAAUAUGUCUGACAACCUAACCAGUUACCAAUGUUCAAUUUCUAUAUAAUUUCUCACACACACACACACACACACACACACACACACACACUUCAUCUUUUUUCAGUGAGAUGAAGUGAAGUUCAUUGACUGAAAUGGCCAUGAGCCAAAGUGUCCAUCAGCUCUCAGGAUGAACCUGAGAACUACAAAGCUGGGCAUACUGAUCAGACCUGGCUUCAGAAAAUUUCUGGAACGCUGAGACCCCCAAACACAUCUCUUUCUUACCAGCUAAUUGGUGUUCAAAAUCUCACCAAUCAGAGUCCCAUCCUUUCAAUUUAAAAGUUUGAUUCUCAUAAUAAUGUCAGUUUCCCAUUUCUUGGGACUCCAUUUUCCCCCAAAAGAUGUAAUACUUCAUCAGUCAUCAUUUAUACCCUAAAUAAAAUAUAUCAAACCUGGGAGCAUUCUUACAGACCAUCUUAUCUAUCAACCUUAAAAGAACAAAUGAGACUCAGCAAGGUAAAGUAAUUUUCUUAAAUUUGCACAUAAAAUUAGUAACAGAGGAAGGACUUACCUCAAGGUGAAUGAAGACAAUAAGGACAGUACCAUAUUAUUUAUAUAGCUUUAUAGCAUUAUCUGAAAUCUGGGAGCCUGAUUCCUCCAUUUUUGUUUUUGUUUUUCAAUAUUGCAUUGGCUAUUCAGUGUGUUUUGUGUUUCCAUAAGAAUUUAAAAUAUUUUGUUCCAGUUCUGUGGAGAAUGUCCUUGGUAAUUUUGACAAGGAUUGCAUUGAAUCUGUAGAUUGCCUUAGGUGGUAGUAUAGUCAUUUUGACAAUAUUGGUUUUUCCAAUCCAAGAACAUGGUAUAUCUUUCCAUUUGUUUGUGUGUUUUUUAUUUCUUUCAUCAGAGUCUUAUAGUUUUCAUAGUACAGUACUUUUGCUUAUUUAGGUAGGUUUAGUCCUAGCUAUUUUAUUCUUUUUGAUGCAACAGUGAAUGUGAUUAUUUCCUUAAUUUCUCUUUCUGAUAUUUCAUUAUUAGUAUAUAGAUAUGCAAUUGAUUUAUGUGUGUUAAUUUUGUAUCCUGCAAAUUUUCCAAAUUCAUUGAUGUGUUCUAAAAGUUUUCUGGUAGUGACUUCAGGAUAUUCUAGGUGUAGUACCAUGUCAUCUGCAAACAGUGACAGUUUUACUUCUUCUUUUCCAAUUUAGAUUCAUUUUAUUUCUUUUUCUUCUCUGGUUGUCAUUUCUAAGAUUUCCAAACCUAUGUGGAGUAUUAGUGGUGAAAGUAGACAUCCUUUUCUUGUUCCUGUUCUUAGUGGAAAUGUUGUCAAUUUUUCACCAUUGAGAAUGGUAUUAGCUGUGGGAUUGUCAUAUACGGCUAUUAUUAUGUUGAGGUAGGUUCACUCUAUGUCCACUUUCUGGAGAGGGUGAUUUUUUUUUUAUUUUAUCAGAAACAGUGUUGAAUUUUGUCAAAAGCUUUUUCUGCAUCUACUGUUCAUAUAGUUUUUAUUUUUCCAGUUUGUUGAGGCGGCCGAUCACACUGAUUGAUUUUCAAAUUGAAGAAUCCUUACAUCCCUGUGAAAAAUCCCACUUGAUCAUAAUGUUUGAUCCUUUUAAUAUGUAUUUGUAUUCACUUUGCUAAUAUUUUGUUGGGGAUUUUUGCACUAUGUCCAUCAGUGAUAUUGGCCUUUAAUUUUCCUUUUUUUGUGUGUUAUCCUUAUCUGGUUUUGGUAUCAGGGUGAUGGUGGGCCCAUAGAAUGAGCGUGGGAGUGUUUCUUCCUCUGCAGGUUUUUGGAAGAGUUUCAGAAUAAUAGGUGUUAAACCUUCUCUGAAUGUUUGGUAGAAUUUGCCUGUGUAGCCUUCAGGUCCUGAACUUUUGUUCUCCAGAAAUUUCUAAAUCACAUUUUCAAUUUCAGUAUGUGUGAUUGGUCUAUUCAUAUUUUCAAUUUCUUCUUGGUUCAGUCUUGGUAGUUUAUACCUUUGUAAGAAUCUGUCCACUUCUUCUAGGAUGUCUAUUUUAUUAGCAUAUUUUUGCUUGUGGUAGUCUCUUAUGAUCUUUUGUAUUUCCGUGGAGUCAGUUGAUGACUCUGGCUAAAGGUUUACCAGGUUUUUUGUUCUGUUUUGUUGCUUUUUAGUGCUGAACCCAUGGAAUAUUGAAGGUCCCAUAUUAGGGGUCAAAUUGGAACUACAGUUGCUGGCCUACACCAGAGACACAGCAACACAGGAUCUGAGCCAUGUCUGAGACCUACACCACACCUCACAGCAAUGCCAGAUCCCUGACCCACUAAGCUAGACCAGGGACCAAACCCACAUCCCCAUGGAUACUAGUUGGAUUCAUUUCCAAUGAGUCACAAUGGGAACUCCCUUUUUUUGUCUUUUUAUGGAUGCGCACUAUGGCAUAUGGAAGUUAACAGGCUAAGGGUCAAAUCAGAGCUGUAGCCACUGGCCUAUGCCACAUCCACAGCAACUCAGGAUCUGAUCCACAUCUGUGACAUACCCCAUAUCUCACAGCAACCCCAGAUCCUUAACCCAUUCAUGGAGGCCAGGGAUUGAACCUACAUCCUCAUUGUUCCUAGUAGGAUUCAUUACUGCUAAGCACCAGUGGGAACUACUGGUUUUGUUGAUCUUUUCAAGGGAUGAACUUUCGGUUUCAUUGAUCUUCUCUAUUGUUUUCUUUGUCUUUAUUUAAUUUGUUUCUGCUAUGAUCUUUAUAAUUUCUUUCCUUCUACUACUAUCUGGCUUUGUUUGUUCUUCCUUCUCCAGUGGUUUUAGGUGUAAUUUUAGGUCAUUUAUUUGAACUUUUUCUUGUUUCCUGAGAAAAGAUUGUAUUGCUAUAAAUUUCCCUCUCAUAACUACUUUUACUGUGUCCAAAGCAGUUUGGAGGUACUUCAGAAAACUAAAUAUAGAACUCCACAUGAUCCAGCAAUCCCCUUCCUGGGCAUAUUUCCCCACAAAACUUUCAUUCAAAAAGAUACAUUCAGCCGAGAGGACAAGAUGGCGGAGGAGUAGGGGGACACGCUC